This is a non-coding RNA of Triticum aestivum (bread wheat), 125 nucleotides long. The record is from Rfam. Lineage: Eukaryota; Viridiplantae; Streptophyta; Magnoliopsida; Poales; Poaceae.
CUAGUACUCCCUCUGUCCAGAAAUACUUAUCGAAAAAAUGGAUGUAUCUAGACGUAUUUUGGUUCUAGAUAUAUCCAUUUGUAUCCAUUUCUGCGACAAGUAAUUCCGGACAGAGGGAGUAUAUC